This 505-nucleotide ribosomal RNA is filed under the name uncultured bacterium. RNAcentral's name for it is "partial 16S ribosomal RNA". It matches the Rfam family "Bacterial small subunit ribosomal RNA", at positions 30 to 523 of the family's 1533-position model. The record is from RNAcentral.
AUUGAACGCUGGCGGUAUGCUUAACACAUGCAAGUCGAACGGCAACGGAGUCUAGCUUGCUAGACAGACGGCGAGUGGCGAACGGGUGAGUAACGCGUAGGAAUAUACCUUAAAGAGGGGGACAACUUGGGGAAACUCAAGCUAAUACCGCAUAAUUUCUGAGGAAAGAAGCUGGGGACCGUAAGGCCUGGCGCUUUAAGAUUAGCCGCGUCCGAUUAGCUAGUUGGUGAGGUAAGUGCUUACCAAGGCGACGAUCGGUAGCUGGUCUGAGAGGAUGAUCAGCCACACUGGGACUGAGACACGGCCCAGACUCCUACGGGAGGCAGCAGUGGGGAAUAUUGGACAAUGGGGGGAACCCUGAUCCAGCAAUACCGCGUGUGUGAAGAAGGCCUGAGGGUUGUAAAGCACUUUCAGUGGGGAGGAGGAUGUAUAGGUUAAGAGCUAAUAUGUUGGACGUUACCCACAGAAGAAGCACCGGCUAACUCCGUGCCAGCAGCCGCGGUAA